GAGGCCCUAUGAUUUGCUCAACUUCGAAUUUGAAAAGCUGUGAUGCGUACGUCGAAGUUUUGGGCCGAAAUUUGUUCGAUGUAAAUAGCCAAGUUUCGGCCCAAUUAUGCUCGUGCAAUUAUUGGGCUCAUGGCCUGCGGCUAAUACCUAGCCUGGACAGGCCCAUGUAGACCACAACAUUUCACUUCGGAAAAGUACACCGAAGGUCCCUCAACUUGUCAUUGAGUUACAAAAUCAUCCUCCAACCGUAAAACCAAAUAUCCAGCAUCUCUUAACUAAUCAAAACCGGUCACAAUAGGUUAUUCGAUGGUUUUAAAUCCGGUUUUAUCCUACGUAGCGGCUGAGUCAGCAUGGAACCCAUAUCGACUUCACAUAUCAUAUCAGUAUGACACGUCAUCUUUCUCUCUGUUUCCCCUCUUUUGUUGUCUCUCUUCCUACUCUCCACUCGAGCCGACUCGUCGAACACCUUGCCUCACAACCACCCCAUGGCCGACCGCGUCCACCCCAUGCCCGCGCCACCGCUGCCGUCCUCGUCUCCUCCGCCGGGACACGACGCCGCCACCGCCGCCGCCGCCACUGGCACCACGCCGCUGCAUCCCAGCUUCCGCGGCGCGCCGCCGCCGUCUCCAAGCACAUACAUCAUCCAAAUCCCCAAGGACCAGGUCCUCCGCGUCCCGCCGCCGGACCGCGCGGCCCGCAAGCCGCCGCCGGCUCCACCACGCGUGCUGUGCCGCCUUCAGCGCGUUCCUCCUCCUGGUCCUCCUCGCCGCCGGCCCGUGGCCCGCGUUCCACCAGGCGCCGAGGAACGUGAUGGUGUUCUCGACGGCGUUGACCGGAGGAGGCGUGAGCUUCACGGAGGAGUAGAGGAAGCGGCUCGAUCGGCGCGGUGCCCCUGAAAAUCUCACUAGCAAGCACAGAUCAAUCUCAUCACUUCUUUCUUCUCUUAGAUGGCCUGGUUGACUGCGAAGGUCCUGCUGCAGAUGGCACCUCUUGAGCAGCCUCAACUGCUUCAGCUUUAGAGCUUCUCAAACUCCUCCUUGUCAUCCUCGCUGAUGGGCCUGCUCUUUCAUUUUCUUCAACCAGUUCAGAUUUGACUCCUCUGCGUCUAGUCCUCAGGUUCGUUAACAUCCUCCCCGCUGCGCUCCUCCCUCACCAGCCGCUGGCCGCGCCGGUCGCACCACCGUGCGUCGCCGCCUCACCCCGACGACAACGCGUGGCCACAGCAAUGGCGCCGCACGGCACGCGGAGGAGGAGGAGGUGAUGAUUUUGUAACUCGAUGACAAGUUGAGGGACCUUCCGUGUACUUUUUCCUUCAUCUUCUCCUCCCUUCUUCUCAGGCUCGGUGUAUAUAUGUACAUCCUGGAACUGAAAGAAUACACCCGUGGAAAUACAGAUUUGAGUAAUCCAA
This is a long non-coding RNA of Oryza sativa Japonica Group (Japanese rice), 1408 nucleotides long. RefSeq lists it as uncharacterized. The record is from RefSeq and is a predicted model, not a curated record. NCBI's taxonomy places the organism in Eukaryota, Viridiplantae, Streptophyta, Magnoliopsida, Poales, Poaceae.